AACUGGGUCCGUACAGGUCAAAUGCGACACCAUCCUGUGUGAUUUGAUUAUCCGCCUGCUGCCUCGAUGCAGCUACACCACCUCACUCUUUCAUUACAGGGGAAGCAGAGGUGGGGCGGGAAUGUGCUCAUCAUGAGGCAGUCACGGAUCUUGACUCGGUCUAGACGAGAGAUCUGAGAGUCUCCAUCCGUCAUCUUUCAGGAUCCUCCUCAUGCUUCAGUGGCGGUGGGAAGUGCACCUCUGCACAGGAAGUGUACACAGCUCCGUUUCCCAGGAGUCGCUUGGCUCAUCACCAGACGACAUUACGUUGGGCUUCAUGCUGUCAGCUGGAUGACUGAACCUGACGGAGUUCUGGUCCAGUCUUUGCUCUACACCUGCACUUGUGGUCUUCGCACUGCUGUCCGCAUGUUUGUCCACCGAAGAGAGGAAUGAGAGGUGGCACAGCCCAGAUCGGGAUCUAAAGUCAGAGGAGCUGUGAAUGAACAAGAGCGGUGAAGGUGCUCCCACAGUCAUACCGCGUACCUUGGAUGUAAGAUUGACAACACCACCUUCUGCCUCCCAGCGACCCCUAACUCCAUCAGGACUCUCUGCAGGAAAGUUAAAAUAUCUCAAAGUAGCAGGUUUAGAGGUGUCCUGGGUCCGUUGUCUGGCAUGAAUGUAUCAUGAGUGGGAAGGCAAAGAAAAACACAUUUUAUUUUUGUUCCCAUAUUAUUCAGAAAUGGUUUCUCACCAAAUAAAUGUAGCCUUAAUUGGCAACUGUUGUUGAUUGAAUCAAAUAACAAGUUAAACCAGAUAAACAAACUGUAGGUUAUGUGGCUCCUUUUUGAUUUUCUAAAUCAAUUGUAAUUGUG
This 851-nucleotide long non-coding RNA is filed under the name Scophthalmus maximus (turbot). RNAcentral's name for it is "lncRNA (ENSSMAG00000037062.1)". The record is from RNAcentral. Lineage: Eukaryota; Metazoa; Chordata; Actinopteri; Pleuronectiformes; Scophthalmidae.